Molecule: ribosomal RNA, 610 nt
Filed under: uncultured archaeon
Lineage: Archaea
Description: bacterial SSU rRNA
Rfam family: Archaeal small subunit ribosomal RNA
Source: RNAcentral
GGCCCUACGGGGUGCAGCAGGCGCGAAAACUUUACAAUGCGGGCAACCGUGAUAAGGGAACCUCGAGUGCCUGUAAAUGCAGGCUGUUCAGAUGCCUAAAACACAUCUGGAGAAAGGGCCGGGCAAGACCGGUGCCAGCCGCCGCGGUAAUACCGGCGGCUCGAGUGGUGGCCACUUUUAUUGGGCUUAAAGCGUUCGUAGCUGGGUUGUUAAGUCUCUUGGGAAAUCUGGCGGCUUAACCGUCAGGCGUCUAAGGGAUACUGGCAAUCUUGGAACCGGGAGAGGUGAGGGGUACUUCGGGGGUAGGAGUGAAAUCCUGUAAUCCUCGAGGGACCACCUGUGGCGAAGGCGCCUCACCAGAACGGACCUGACGGCAAGGGACGAAAGCUAGGGGCACGAACCGGAUUAGAUACCCGGGUAGUCCUAGCCGUAAACGAUACUCGCUAGGUGUCGGCCACGGUGCGACCGUUGUCGGUGCCGUAGGGAAGCCGUGAAGCGAGCCACCUGGGAAGUACGGCCGCAAGGCUGAAACUUAAAGGAAUUGGCGGGGGAGCACCACAACGGGUGGAGCUUGCGGUUUAAUUGGAUUCAACGCCGGAAAUCUUACCGG